UUCUUUCAUUCCCCUCUGUCUAUUCGUAUAUGUAUAUUUAGUAUUUCACUAAUCAUACUUCAAAGCCCUGCCCAUUUUAAGUGUUUUAACCUUUGAUCACUGAUACCCUGUCCGACUGACGUAGGGCCCCGUAACGUAUGACAAGGCUCUGCCUAAAUUAGUUGGGGUUCUGUCUCGUGACGUAGGGAUAAAGAGGAAUUAGGUUACUAUACUUAAUGUGAGUGCACUAUAUAUUUUAUUAAAUAACCCAGGAGUGAUACCCAAAAUAUAACAACCCUCCUAAAAGACCCUUGACACCCCUACACUUCCUAAAAUAUACCCCAUAUGCGAUAAACGAACCCGUAUACCUUUUAUAUUAAUAAAAAUCAAAUAAAAUAAAAAUUAUGGAUCUCUCGCGGGGCGCGUAAGCCACCCCCUUGGACUUACGCGGGCCGCGACAACAAGGAGGCCAGACCGCACCAGAGCACGCCACGUGUCCGACGCGUGUGGGGUCUAGGGCUGACUCAGCAACCCUAUACAAGGACACGUAGUCCCUGGCGGGCCGCGUAGACCCAAGCCAAACCUUACGCGGGCUGCGUAGAACUCGAUUUCAGGCCCUAUAAAGUGGGAGCUCGGGCUUCAGUCUCAAUUCGCUCACAUCUUUCUCUCUCACUCGAAUUUCUGAAUAGUAGAAGUGAUACUCGGGUAUAAUACCCCCCUAAUUAGCGAAACUCUACCUCGUUGUAAGUAUCAUAACCACUGGAGACGUAUUAGAUACUCUGCCCGAUUGAUCUAGGGUUCCGUAACGGCUGUCAUGGUUCUACCCGACGUAGUCGUUGGAAUGUCGUCUCGGGGAUGGGAACCACAAAGGAAAGCGCUAUAAUAGCAAUGCGAGUGAUCCUUCUUUUUGUGUAAAUCUUUUUGUGAGUAAUCCUCUUUUUGUUAACUGUUUUACAAAACCUUAAAUAUCUUUCCAUGGGAAUAGCAGUUAUUGAGUAUUUGUAAGAAUACAAUUACAGUCGGUAAAUUUGGGGUUUUGUAUACAAAAUUUGUUACCACCUGGUAAAGGAGUAACAUGACCAUAAGUCGGAACGACAUUACCGUGUGGUGGUAAUUGAUAUAACUUGGAAACAAAUGUAAUUGCGGAUGCGCCCUCAAUACUGUUCACUGUGACUUUUUAUUUAAACUUGAUUAAACUGGGAUUCACUCACCAGUAUUUCCUGCUGAUAAAAUGUUUUUAAACACGUGUUUCAGGUAACUUAGUGUGAAGCCAAUAAAAGCCAGCUGGAGAGCACUGAAGGCUUGGAAAAGUGGCUAUAAAGUUACCUAAAAUAAAAUAGAUGUUUUUAUUAAACAAAAUAGGAUUUAUUCCUAUGAAAAUGUGUGUACCACAAACUUGGGUUUUACCCAUGUAUUUAAUGUUAUAAAAUAUGGUGGUUUACU
This 1422-nucleotide long non-coding RNA is filed under the name Helianthus annuus (common sunflower). Its description in RNAcentral is "hypothetical non coding rna". The record is from RNAcentral. Lineage: Eukaryota; Viridiplantae; Streptophyta; Magnoliopsida; Asterales; Asteraceae.